GACGAACGCUGGCGGCGUGCCUAAUACAUGCAAGUAGAACGCACAGUUUAUACCGUAGCUUGCUCCACCAUAGACUGUGAGUUGCGAACGGGUGAGUAACGCGUAGGUAACCUGCCUGGUAGCGGGGGAUAACUAUUGGAAACGAUAGCUAAUACCGCAUAAUAUUAAUUAUUGCAUGAUAAUUAAUUGAAAGGUGCAAUUGCACCACUACCAGAUGGACCUGCGUUGUAUUAGCUAGUAGGUGAGGUAACGGCUCACCUAGGCGACGAUACAUAGCCGACCUGCGAGGGUGAUCGGCCACACUGGGACUGAGACACGGCCCAGACUCCUACGGGAGGCAGCAGUAGGGAAUCUUCGGCAAUGGACGAAAGUCUGACCGAGCAACGCCGCGUGAGUGAAGAAGGUUUUCGGAUCGUAAAGCUCUGUUGUAAGAGAAGAACGGGUGUGAGAGUGGAAAGUUCACACUGUGACGGUAUCUUACCAGAAAGGGACGGCUAACUACGUG
RNAcentral lists this ribosomal RNA (505 nucleotides) under uncultured bacterium. Its description in RNAcentral is "partial 16S ribosomal RNA". It matches the Rfam family "Bacterial small subunit ribosomal RNA", at positions 28 to 507 of the family's 1533-position model. The record is from RNAcentral.